Molecule: ribosomal RNA, 301 nt
Filed under: uncultured bacterium
Lineage: Bacteria
Description: partial 16S ribosomal RNA
Rfam family: Bacterial small subunit ribosomal RNA
Source: RNAcentral
CAGUAGCCGCGGUAAUACGAAGGGUGCAAGCGUUACUCGGAAUUACUGGGCGUAAAGCGUGCGUAGGUGGUUGUUUAAGUCUGCUGUGAAAGCCCUGGGCUCAACCUGGGAAUUGCAGUGGAUACUGGGCGACUAGAGUAAGGUAGAGGAUAGUGGAAUUUCCGGUGUAGCAGUGAAAUGCGUAGAGAUCGGAAGGAACAUCUGUGGCGAAGGCGACUAUCUGGGCCAUUACUGACACUGAGGCACGAAAGCGUGGGGAGCAAACAGGAUUAGAUACCCGCGUAGUCCCUGUCUCUUAUAC